RNAcentral lists this unclassified non-coding RNA (297 nucleotides) under uncultured fungus. Its description in RNAcentral is "sequence contains ITS1". The stretch from base 1 to 105 matches the Rfam family "5.8S ribosomal RNA", at positions 50 to 154 of the family's 154-position model. Lineage: Eukaryota; Fungi. The record is from RNAcentral.
AAACUGUGAUACGUGAUACGAAUUGCAGACACAUUGAGUAUUGAUCUUUCGAACGCACAUUGCGGCGUCAGGCUACUGUCUGUCGCCACGUCUGUCUGAGGGUCGUUUCAUACAUAUGCACAGGCACUAGUGUCUGCGCGCAGUGCGGUUUGAGGAAUUAGCCUUCCACCAACUGCCAAAGUGAAACGUGUAAAGGAGGAUUAAGCGCUUUGCGAGCAGAGAGGUGAAAUGCUCUGCGAGCUUGGUGGCAAAUUUGAUUUCGACCUCAGAUCAGGCGUGAUCACCCGCUGAACUUAA